UUGUGAGCUCUUAAGAGACUAAUCUUUAUUUUAGUAUUCAAAUUUACACUUUGACUAUAGAAUUUAAGCAUCCAAAUUAUCUUGUAUCAUCUUUAAAUCCAGAUUAAAUUUUCUAAAGUUUAGGGUUAAUCAUCAAGCAUCUUGGUCUGAAUGACAGGCAUCUCUAUUGUCACAAAAAAAUGCAACAAAACCUGAGGAAUAAUGUGAAACUCUGAGCUGGGAUGUUAAAAGCUUGUUAAGGAUAAUGUUAAACUUCAUAUAUAAUAAAUAAUAGCAAGGAUGUUAUAGCAUCUAUAGCUGUUUAAAGAAGUUCCCCCACCCAGAGAAAGACAAAAUACUAUUGCCUGUGUUUUUUUAGCUU
Molecule: long non-coding RNA, 361 nt
Filed under: Bos taurus (domestic cattle)
Lineage: Eukaryota; Metazoa; Chordata; Mammalia; Artiodactyla; Bovidae
Description: long non-coding RNA NONBTAT016047
Source: RNAcentral